UUUUUUUUUUUUUUUUUGGGUCAAAUGUAUACUCUGUUCGAUUUGGAUGCCAAGAAAAGUAACCUUUUUUUUUUUGGCAUAAUUUAUACUCUUCCUUUUGCCACUUUAUGUUGUUUUAUUAUUUUUUAUUGAGAAGCCAAAAAAUUGUAUUGGAUUUAAAUAGGGACAAGCUGAAGAGACUAUUCCAAAUUUUUUAAGAGAGUGUGGGUAGGGGUGGCCACGGUUCGGUUUCGAACC
This 237-nucleotide unclassified non-coding RNA is filed under the name Hevea brasiliensis (rubber tree). The record is from RNAcentral. Lineage: Eukaryota; Viridiplantae; Streptophyta; Magnoliopsida; Malpighiales; Euphorbiaceae.